CAGUAAUGAAUAAAGAAAUAUAAACUAAAUUUUAUCUAAAUAAUAUUAUUAAAUUAAUUUAACUGUCAUUUUCAGAUCUAAAAUCAGAAAUUGAAAGCGUAAACAAAUUAAAAAAAUCUACUAUCGAACAUAUGUCUCCUAAUGCAAAUUGGACUUCAAUGUCUAUUGUUAAUUUAUUAAAGAAGGACAUUUAUGGAGAACAUAAUCACACAAAUCUUUUCGCAAAACCUUGUAUUACUGCUUAUUACAGCUAUUUGGUUUUUAAUGAUUAUGCAUGUUUUUAAUGAGAUAGAUCUUGGAAACUACCUGAAGAGUUCAAGGUCGUAUCUGAAGUGGCAUCUAAGAUAUCUGAACUCCCCUCAUCCAAUUUUAUCAAUGUCUUAGAAUUUUUUAAAAAUUAUUUUUGACGUUAGUCAUAAAUUAUUGUUGUUUUCAAAUUAAAAUUUAAUACUGAUCAUUAUAUGUGUUUAUAUUCUAUUUUAAUAUGCUACUUAAUGAAUAUUUACAAUAUGUAUAAUAAACAUUUAAUAAAUGCAAAAAUAAAGCAUUAAAUAAUUUAUAUUAA
Daktulosphaira vitifoliae (grape phylloxera) is the source of this 565-nucleotide long non-coding RNA. RefSeq lists it as uncharacterized. The transcript is spliced from 2 exons. The record is from RefSeq and is a predicted model, not a curated record. NCBI's taxonomy places the organism in Eukaryota, Metazoa, Arthropoda, Insecta, Hemiptera, Phylloxeridae.